GAAACCCAGUGUGAUUCGUCACACUAUCAUUAACUGAAUCCAUAGGUUAAUGAGGCGAACCGGGGGAACUGAAACAUCUAAGUACCCCGAGGAAAAGAAAUCAACCGAGAUUCCCCCAGUAGCGGCGAGCGAACGGGGAGGAGCCCAGAGCCUGAAUCAGCAUGUGUGUUAGUGGAAGCGUCUGGAAAGGCGCGCGAUACAGGGUGACAGCCCCGUACACAAAAGCGCAUGUGCUGUGAGCUCGAUGAGUAGGGCGGGACACGUGGUAUCCUGUCUGAAUAUGGGGGGACCAUCCUCCAAGGCUAAAUACUCCUGACUGACCGAUAGUGAACCAGUACCGUGAGGGAAAGGCGAAAAGAACCCCGGCGAGGGGAGUGAAAAAGAACCUGAAACCGUGUACGUACAAGCAGUGGGAGCACAGGUUUACCUGUGUGACUGCGUACCUUUUGUAUAAUGGGUCAGCGACUUAUAUUCUGUAGCAAG
RNAcentral lists this ribosomal RNA (483 nucleotides) under Salmonella enterica. Its description in RNAcentral is "partial 23S ribosomal RNA". It matches the Rfam family "Bacterial large subunit ribosomal RNA", at positions 123 to 644 of the family's 2925-position model. Lineage: Bacteria; Pseudomonadati; Pseudomonadota; Gammaproteobacteria; Enterobacterales; Enterobacteriaceae. The record is from RNAcentral.